Molecule: long non-coding RNA, 251 nt
Filed under: Lathyrus oleraceus (garden pea)
Lineage: Eukaryota; Viridiplantae; Streptophyta; Magnoliopsida; Fabales; Fabaceae
Description: Pisum sativum (pea) long non-coding RNA (PSAT_LNC004163)
Source: RNAcentral
GAAUUUAAAUGCAUUUUUAGUUUGAUUUUUAAUUGAUUAAUUGUGUAAAAAUUAUGUCGAACCAUUUUUAUUGACUUGCGAUGUUUGACUAUGUGUUUGGGCCUUGGUCAAAGUUGAUUUGACUUUUGUUGGAUUGAAAUCAUUGGAUUUAGGGGAUUGAUGAAAUAUACAUUUCAUCUCCCAAAAUCCCUUUCCAAGUGAGAUCACACCCCUGUUUUUCAACUCCGACCAAAGAGCUAAAAUUGUUUAAC